This 640-nucleotide long non-coding RNA is filed under the name Gossypium barbadense (sea-island cotton). RNAcentral describes it as "long non-coding RNA (GBAR_LNC006528)". The record is from RNAcentral. Lineage: Eukaryota; Viridiplantae; Streptophyta; Magnoliopsida; Malvales; Malvaceae.
UCAAAAAGAUGAACACGAAGCACUUAGCCCAUAUUUAUACAUUAGACAUCAAAGUCACAUACAUGUGAAAUCAUGCAUCAACACAACAUAUUAGCUAAUUUUUUCCCCCUUGGCCGAAUAUGCAUGUCUAUUUUUGGGGUCGAUUUCAACACUUAAUACACACAUAUACACACUAGUAAAGCAUCCACCCCCUUUCCAUCAAUUUAACACAUGCAUUGCUCAUUAACAUGCAAAGUUACAUUCGGCCUUAGCACACAACUUGCUAGUCGAUUCUUCUCCAUUUAGCAACCAAUGCACAUAUGUGCUCACACAAAAAUGCUAAAAAGGAGGUUCAAGAAUCAUCAAGUCAUCAUCACAUGCAUCAUUAACAAACUUCAUAUUUAGCAUGCAAUGGCAUUAACACAACCUCCACCUAGGCCGAAUUUUAACUCAUCCUCUUGCCUCAUCACCACCACAUCAAACAUCAACCAAGAAUGAUGCAUCCAUGGUCAAAUGUCAUUUCCAUCACAUAGCAAGAUUUAGACCAUGGGCUAGGUAGAACUCAAGCUAACAACUAAAACAUGCAUGCAUCUCAUGGAACAUCAUCAACAUACCUUAGCCUAGCUACAUGCAUGGCCGAAUCUCUUCACCUUUCUUCUUC